GGCUGGAUGAGUAGCCUUAGAAAAAAACUGAGGCCUGGCAUCUCAGAUCAUCAGAGACAAGGCUAGAAAUGGGACCUUGGUCUGUUCCAGCCCAGAGCUCCUGGUAUUACCAGUGUGCUACCCUGUGUGAAGCAUAUAACUUUUUGUUGAAGCUUCAAAAAAUAUGGACUGGGAAUGAGGCUACCAAGAACAAAGUAAAAGGAUUUAUAUGUACGGAAAUAUCAUAAUGAAACCCAUUUUUGUGUGCACAGAAAGUUUAAAAAGCAUUACAUGACUAAUAUGAUUGGAAUUCUGUAGUAUUCAGCAGACAUUGUUAGAACUGUACUGUAGCAUAAGUCUUGCUUUUCUGCAACAAACCUCUGGAAGACCAGGAAGCACCAGCCAGGGAGAGGAAAUUGUUGCCUGGACCCAUCAAAGAGGAUGCCACCAAAAUGAUCCUUCAGGGUACUGUGGGCUUGGUGUGGAAUUAUCUUCAUUUUUAUUGCUUCAGUUCUUUUCUGCUGGUGGGAAAACCAUGUAGGAUUCUUCCCUGGGCUUCCUGCAGAGACAACAAAUGACCCAAGGCCAAAGACACUGCCAGUAAAUAAAGGGAAAGGAUCCAUGGGCAGAACAGGCAGUCAGGAAUGGCUGAGACCUCACACCUUAAUCCACAAGAAGGAGGAGCUGGAGGAUGCAGUUCUCUGAGAGCAGUUGAGCCUGAGCAUAAAAGCCCAUCAAUAAGGAGCAGGUGACAGUGCCACAGCUGGGUAAUUUGUCUCUGUGCUCUUCUGCAGCCUAUUCGCUGAUGAUCUAUUUGUCCCAGGGAAUAGAUGGUGGCAGGCCUGAAAAGGGAGGAUAUGCUGAGCUUGAGGACUGAGUCCAAUUCAAAUCAUUAAGUUGGACCUCCUGCAAAACCUAAAUGUAGUAACCUGCUUCCAAUAUGCACUUGGCAUUCUUGGAUGUUGGCAUUCACAUACUUGGCACUAGGAAUUGAACCUA
Molecule: long non-coding RNA, 978 nt
Filed under: Cricetulus griseus (Chinese hamster)
Lineage: Eukaryota; Metazoa; Chordata; Mammalia; Rodentia; Cricetidae
Description: lncRNA (ENSCGRG00015033179.1)
Source: RNAcentral